UUAAAAUGAUGUACAAAUAUAUUUGCUACUCUUGAAAUUGCAAAAUUCAUGACGAAAAUAACCACCAAGAUCGCUGAUUUU
This 81-nucleotide small nucleolar RNA is filed under the name Pseudocohnilembus persalinus. Its description in RNAcentral is "Small nucleolar RNA SNORD24". It matches the Rfam family "Small nucleolar RNA SNORD24". Rfam says of the family: U24 is a member of the C/D class of snoRNA which contain the C (UGAUGA) and D (CUGA) box motifs. C/D box snoRNAs have been shown to act as methylation guides for a number of RNA targets. U24 is encoded within an intron of the gene for ribosomal protein L7a in mammals, chicken and Fugu. Lineage: Eukaryota; Ciliophora; Oligohymenophorea; Philasterida; Pseudocohnilembidae. The record is from Rfam by way of RNAcentral.